CAUUAUCGUAUAAACUUGAACAGGGCUGUUGCUGGCCCUCAACUGAGGGUGUUGUGCACGCCUUGUCUCAUCUUUAUUUCUCCAACUUGUGCACAUUUUGUAGAUCCCUGGGAUGCCUUUUUAUGAAUUAUGGUUCGAGUUGGGACUGCUGUUGCUUCUUUGCUCUUUGAAAGAGGCCAGCUUUUCCUUUGCAUCUCCAGGGUCUAUGUCAAUCCUUCACAACCCCUAGAAUGUGUUUAGAAUGUUGAUAAAAAAAAGUGAAAUAUAAUACAACUUUCAGCAACGGAUCUCUUGGCUCUCGCAUCGAUGAAGAACGCAGCGAAAUGCGAUAAGUAAUGUGAAUUGCAGAAUUCAGUGAAUCAUCGAAUCUUUGAACGCAUCUUGCGCUCCUUGGUAUUCCGAGGAGCAUGCCUGUUUGAGUGUCAUUUAACUUAUCAACCACUUCAGAUUCUGGAUGUGGCUUGGAUGUGGGGGAAUAUCUUUGCAGGCCUUUUUUUGCAAAAGAAGGGUCAGCUCCUCUGAAAUGUAUUAGUGGCAUCUGAGCUACUACUGUAGGUGUGAUAACUAUCUAUGCCUUUGGUAUUCUGCAUGAGACAGAUUGCGCUGCUUAAAACUUGGAAAAAAACCUUUGACAAACUUGACCUCAAAUCAGGUAGGACUACCCGCUGAACUUAA
RNAcentral lists this ribosomal RNA (675 nucleotides) under uncultured Cortinariaceae. Its description in RNAcentral is "eukaryotic LSU rRNA". The stretch from base 272 to 425 matches the Rfam family "5.8S ribosomal RNA". Lineage: Eukaryota; Fungi; Basidiomycota; Agaricomycetes; Agaricales; Cortinariaceae. The record is from RNAcentral.